GUCUGUGUGGUAUAAUGAUCUGAGUGUUAGAUUAGGACUCUAUAGGACCAAGGUUCAAAUCCUUGCUCAGCCA
Phrynosoma platyrhinos (Desert horned lizard) is the source of this 73-nucleotide non-coding RNA. NCBI's taxonomy places the organism in Eukaryota, Metazoa, Chordata, Lepidosauria, Squamata, Phrynosomatidae. The record is from the annotation of a GenBank genome assembly.